RNAcentral lists this non-coding RNA (45 nucleotides) under Schistosoma haematobium. Lineage: Eukaryota; Metazoa; Platyhelminthes; Trematoda; Strigeidida; Schistosomatidae. The record is from RNAcentral.
AUUCAACUGACGAGUCCCAAGCAGGACGAGGCGCACGUCCUGAAU